Mustela erminea (ermine) is the source of this 554-nucleotide long non-coding RNA. RefSeq lists it as uncharacterized. The transcript is spliced from 3 exons. NCBI's taxonomy places the organism in Eukaryota, Metazoa, Chordata, Mammalia, Carnivora, Mustelidae. The record is from RefSeq and is a predicted model, not a curated record.
GCCAAAGGCAGAGCUUUAACCCACUGAGCCACCCAGGCGCCCCCUAUUUUUAUUUUUAUAGAAAAUGUAGGUAUGUGUUUUAUGUCUUCUCCCCCCUCCUAUUUGUUAGUUACUCAUUUUUAUUGUAGUUUACAAAUAUAUUAUUAUAUUUUACAAAAGCACAUGCCACUAUUUUUUUAAGGUUCCCAGAGCCGGUUCCAGCGUGGCGAGCACCGGGCUCCUCAGAUACCAGGGGGUGCCCGGAAUUCAGCCCAGUCAUGACACGGUCCACCCAGGGACAGCAGCAGCCCCACAGCUCUUUGCUCUGCACGAGGCCCUUCCAGAAAGCAGUGAGGAGAGGACAGGGAGGAUUACAGGUAAUGUCCCUCACUUCCUCGGCCUCUUUGCUGCAUUUGAUAAUGGCCGUGUCCCAGCGUCAUCCCCACCACCCAGGAGCUGCAGUUCACUGUCCAGGGCCGAGGCCCCAUCUCCCAGCUGCCAGUGUUUUGCCAAUUUGGGAACAUCCGAAAUGUCUUUAGCCUCUUCAUCGAGGGACCUUGGUGUCACAGUGGCAG